RNAcentral lists this non-coding RNA (949 nucleotides) under Sarda sarda (Atlantic bonito). RNAcentral's name for it is "12S ribosomal RNA". It matches the Rfam family "Bacterial small subunit ribosomal RNA". The record is from RNAcentral. Lineage: Eukaryota; Metazoa; Chordata; Actinopteri; Scombriformes; Scombridae.
CAAAGGCUUGGUCCUGACUUUACUGUCAACUCUAGCUAAACUUACACAUGCAAGUAUCCGCGACCCUGUGAGAAUGCCCCACAGUUUUCCGCCCGAAAACAAGGAGCUGGUAUCAGGCACACCUAAUAAUAAAGCCCAUGACGCCUUGCUUAGCCACACCCUCAAGGGAACUCAGCAGUGAUAAACCUUAAGCUAUAAGUGCAAACUUGACUUAGUUAAAGCUAAGAGGGCCGGUAAAACUCGUGCCAGCCACCGCGGUUAUACGAGAGGCCCAAGUUGACAGACACCGGCGUAAAGCGUGGUUAAGGUAAAUUAAAACUAAAGCCGAACACCUUCAGGGCAGUUAUACGCAUCCGAAGGCACGAAGCCCCACCACGAAAGUGGCUUUAUGAUCCCUGACCCCACGAAAGCUAUGACACAAACUGGGAUUAGAUACCCCACUAUGCCUAGCCGUAAACAUUGAUAGAAUUCUACACCCUCUAUCCGCCUGGGUACUACGAGCAUUAGCUUGAAACCCAAAGGACUUGGCGGUACUUUAGAUCCCCCUAGAGGAGCCUGUUCUAUAACCGAUGACCCCCGUUCAACCUCACCCUCCCUUGUUUAUCCCGCCUAUAUACCGCCGUCGUCAGCUUACCCUGUGAAGGUCUAAUAGUAAGCAAAAUUGGCAUCGCCCAGAACGUCAGGUCGAGGUGUAGCGCAUGAGAGGGGAAGAAAUGGGCUACAUUCGCUAACAUAGCGAAUACGAACGAUACACUGAAAACGUGUAUCCGAAGGAGGAUUUAGCAGUAAGCGGAAAAUAGAGUGUUCCGCUGAAAUCGGCUCUGAAGUGCGUACACACCGCCCGUCACUCUCCCCAAGCUUAUCAAUACAUAUAUCUAAAACGCUUUAACCGCGAAGGGGAGGCAAGUCGUAACAUGGUAAGUGUACCGGAAGGUGCACUUGGAAAAAU